RNAcentral lists this ribosomal RNA (745 nucleotides) under Lentilactobacillus parabuchneri. Its description in RNAcentral is "bacterial SSU rRNA". It matches the Rfam family "Bacterial small subunit ribosomal RNA", at positions 49 to 750 of the family's 1533-position model. Lineage: Bacteria; Bacillati; Bacillota; Bacilli; Lactobacillales; Lactobacillaceae. The record is from RNAcentral.
UAAUACAUGCAAGUCGAACGCGUCUUGGUUAUUGAUGUUAGAUGCUUGCAUUUAACUGAUUUAACAUUGAGACGAGUGGCGAACUGGUGAGUAACACGUGGGUAACCUGCCCUUGAAGUAGGGGAUAACACUUGGAAACAGGUGCUAAUACCGUAUAACAACCAAAACCACCUGGUUUUGGUUUAAAAGAUGGCUUCGGCUAUCACUUUAGGAUGGACCCGCGGCGUAUUAGCUUGUUGGUAAGGUAACGGCCUACCAAGGCAAUGAUACGUAGCCGACCUGAGAGGGUAAUCGGCCACAUUGGGACUGAGACACGGCCCAAACUCCUACGGGAGGCAGCAGUAGGGAAUCUUCCACAAUGGACGAAAGUCUGAUGGAGCAACGCCGCGUGAGUGAUGAAGGGUUUCGGCUCGUAAAACUCUGUUGUUGGAGAAGAACAGGUGUGAGAGUAACUGUUCACAUCUUGACGGUAUCCAACCAGAAAGCCACGGCUAACUACGUGCCAGCAGCCGCGGUAAUACGUAGGUGGCAAGCGUUGUCCGGAUUUAUUGGGCGUAAAGCGAGCGCAGGCGGUUUCUUAGGUCUGAUGUGAAAGCCUUCGGCUUAACCGGAGAAGUGCAUCGGAAACCAGGAGACUUGAGUGCAGAAGAGGACAGUGGAACUCCAUGUGUAGCGGUGAAAUGCGUAGAUAUAUGGAAGAACACCAGUGGCGAAGGCGGCUGUCUGGUCUGUAACUGACGCUGAG